CGUUAGUGCCUGUGUGACCUAGUGGACGAAUCGUACUGUCGGUGGCAGUUAUAGUCCGGAAUUUUUCUACUUCACACACGACCCCCGAUUCCCAAAAUAAUAACACACACACUUUUUUGUAUUGAAUUCGAUUCUUUUGUUUUGUAAAAUCGGAACCAAGGGUGUCAGAGCCGGAGACGAACGUCGUCCGCCAGCGCCGAUCCAAUCGUUCAACCGUCCUGUCGCACCGUCGAUCCCCAAUCGUCGUCCGGGUGUUACGACUAUGCAGUAUUAGCAGUCAAAAAAAAAAAAAGGAAUACGCCCCAUUAUCAUUAUUUAACUUCAAAUCAAAUCUGAGCAAAUUAAGUCGCACCUCCAUCGCGAGUGAAACGUUCAAAUUGUAAAUCGGAAUAACAGUAAGACCUCAUCAGAAUCGGGAAUCGAGAAAAAUUCAAGGACUCCAGGACUAUCAGCGUAGAUACAUACAUACAUAUAUCAAAGAAGAGUAAAUGAGUGCCACAAAGUCGAAGAGAGAGAGAGAGAGAUAGCGCCAGGAGUGGAAAUAUAAAGCGAUUAAAUAGCGAAGAGAAAAUUUGACUCAAAAAAGUGAGGUUAUCUUCACCCGAAUAACGGUAACUCGACAGCUAAAGAGCGAAACGGUACCUGAGUAUUCGUAUUUUGGUCGUGUCAGGUGCAUUUAUUUUUCGCGUUUCGUUUCCUGUGUUCCAUGUUCAAGAUCCUGGACGACUCCUCUUCCCAGACCCCUUGAGUAUAGCUCACCUCCAUAAAGUUUUGGUUCCAUACUUGGAAUUCGAGUUGUGUUCGUAAUUCUAUAUAUUUUUUUAUUUUAUAUCUUGUGCAAAUUGCCAGUUGACGUAUUGUCAGUGAAAGCCCCAUAUAUCAUCCACUAUACAAUUCAAUAUACAGUUCGUAUCAAGCAGACGGUAGCCGAGAUCUCAGUAUAUAUUGAGCAAUAUAUAGGGGUCCGCCACCACCCACUCCAAAUAUCCUUUGUCCUGUCGGUAUAAUCGGCGGGAAUCUUUUCUAGAUAUUCCCGUGGCGUUGGUUAGCCAGCGAACAAAACCAUCAAAUUGGCGCCAGUUCAGGGAACUGGUGAUGCUUUUGCCCCAUCUGGCGGCGCCUCUUCCCCGCGUCACCGCCCGCCGGGCAAGCCGAAAACUGUUCAGGAACUGAUUCUGGAGGCUGCCCACCGCCGGCGACGUCAUUUCCUCGGGGUGCGAGGGGACACCACCACCACCACCACCACCACCAGUCCGCACAACGCUCCUCCUCCUCCUCCUCCUCCGCCUUACGACCAUCAUCACCUGGUGCCGGAACACAAGCCCCCCAAGGAGCGCAAGGACAAGACCCGUGUGAGGGAGCGCGAGCGAGAACGGGAACGCGAAAAGGAGCGUGAGCGCGAGCGCGAGCGAGACAGAGACCGCGAGCGAGA
This 1432-nucleotide small RNA is filed under the name Drosophila ananassae. Its description in RNAcentral is "GF27774". Lineage: Eukaryota; Metazoa; Arthropoda; Insecta; Diptera; Drosophilidae. The record is from RNAcentral.